Long non-coding RNA from Zea mays, 862 nucleotides. RefSeq lists it as uncharacterized. The transcript is spliced from 4 exons. NCBI's taxonomy places the organism in Eukaryota, Viridiplantae, Streptophyta, Magnoliopsida, Poales, Poaceae. The record is from RefSeq and is a predicted model, not a curated record.
CCUCCUCGUUCCUUCUCCAACUCCCCCGCCCUGCAGGCCGCCGGCCGCCCUCGCCCAGCCCGCCUCGACGCUCAGCUAUCAUGCCCUGCCCCGCUACGUCAUCCGACUGCCAUGCCCCGCACCGCCCCGACAUCAACGCCGAUCGCCUCGUUUGCCGCAUCUGGUCUCUCACCAUAGAAAUCUGAACACAAGCUUCCUAGCUGAGCUUUUCUCCAUGUACCGCUAAUGGCAAGAAGAGAAUGCCAAGAGAGUUAUCCGAGAGCAGAACCGACACAGAAGUGGAGCAACUGCGUGAAGAACUUAGGCGUCAUCAGGAUUACUUAGGCGACAAGCUGCGCAACAUGAAUACUAUGCUACACAGAUUCAACAACAGCAAACACUCAUACAACAACUAGCACAAGCCUAAGGGAUACACGUCCCGGUGCCCCACCACCACCUCCCGUACAUUAUCCUUGGUCCUCACCUCCACCUACACCUCCAUCUCCACCUACCGAACAUCAGUUAUGCAAAUUCAUCAUCAGUUACUUGUUGUUAGUUAUAUUAUGGUGUAACUCAGCAAAUAUCAUUUGUACAUGUAUGUUAGACCCCUCCAGCUACCUUGCCGACACAGGAACGAGAUGACGGGUUAGACUUUGUCGAAGCCCUCUUUGCUAGUGGAGGUAUCGACCAUCACUCGUCACUGUACUCGAUGGUAAUCGGCGAUCGUGAGCUUCCAUUUUAUGUGUUGUGAUACUUGAGACAUUUAUUAUGACUAUGUAUGAGAUAUUAUCUCUUAUUAUGACUGGAUGAGAUGUGUCUUAUGACUAUGGAUGUUGUGAUGUAAUUGAUGAGACUAUGGAUUUAAAUGUUGUUAUGUGAUUGU